GUAGUCUCCUGCCAAUCCUGGCCAAAACUCCGCGCGGCUUCUGGCCCCACAAGGAUACCCAAGUGGUCGUUUAUGAGGCCUUCAAUUCAGGUUUCCAGAGGUUGGAGCCAGCUUCUGGUGCUGCUUCUACACCGCGUGAUGUGUCUUCUCUCUAAAGGACUGCUCAUCCGUGGCACAAAUAACCCAUCCUAGAGCCACCCCAGGAACUAGAAAAAUCAAAUCUUUUGCCAGAAUUAUGAUGUUCCAAGAGUACAAUGAAACAGGUGCCGUGGAGGCAUUGGUUAGACUUAUGGGCAUUACAGAAGGUUCUGUCUCAGAAAAAUACAGGAACCUGCCAGCUCAAAGAUGUUUUGGAGAUCCAAAAGAAGAGGUGCUGAUUACACGGCAUGUUCACUUCAUGUAAACCUAUCAAGCUGUAUAAUGCUGAACUAAAACCAAUAAAACACCGGGUUAUUUUA
Long non-coding RNA from Balaenoptera acutorostrata (minke whale), 458 nucleotides. RefSeq lists it as uncharacterized. The transcript is spliced from 3 exons. The record is from RefSeq and is a predicted model, not a curated record. NCBI's taxonomy places the organism in Eukaryota, Metazoa, Chordata, Mammalia, Artiodactyla, Balaenopteridae.